AUUGAACGCUGGCGGCAGGCUUAACACAUGCAAGUCGAGCGGGGGAAGGUAGCUUGCUACUGGACCUAGCAGCGGACGGGUGAGUAAUGCUUAGGAAUCUGCCUAUUAGUGGGGGACAACAUCUCGAAAGGGAUGCUAAUACCGCAUACGUCCUACGGGAGAAAGCAGGGGAUCUUCGGACCUUGCGCUAAUAGAUGAGCCUAAGUCGGAGUAGCUAGUUGGUGGGGUAAAGGCCUACCAAGGCGACGAUCUGUAGCGGGUCUGAGAGGAUGAUCCGCCACACUGGGACUGAGACACGGCCCAGACUCCUACGGGAGGCAGCAGUGGGGAAUAUUGGACAAUGGGGGGAACCCUGAUCCAGCCAUGCCGCGUGUGUGAAGAAGGCCUUAUGGUUGUAAAGCACUUUAAGCGAGGAGGAGGCUACUCUAGUUAAUACCUAGGGAUAGUGGACGUUACUCGCAGAAUAAGCACCGGCUAACUCUGUGCCAGCCGCCGCAGUAA
RNAcentral lists this ribosomal RNA (501 nucleotides) under uncultured bacterium. Its description in RNAcentral is "partial 16S ribosomal RNA". It matches the Rfam family "Bacterial small subunit ribosomal RNA", at positions 30 to 523 of the family's 1533-position model. The record is from RNAcentral.